UACAGAGGCCUCAAGCGUUGUUCGGAUUCAUUGGGCGUAAAGGGCGCGUAGGCUGCGGGGCAAGUCGGGUGUGAAAUCUCAGAGCUCAACUCUGAAACUGCACUCGAUACUGCUUUGCUUGAGGACUGGAGAGGAGAUUGGAAUUCACGGUGUAGCAGUGAAAUGCGUAGAUAUCGUGAGGAAGACCAGUGGCGAAGGCGGAUCUCUGGACAGUUCCUGACGCUGAGGCGCGAAGGCCAGGGGAGCAAACGGG
This 253-nucleotide ribosomal RNA is filed under the name uncultured bacterium. RNAcentral's name for it is "partial 16S ribosomal RNA". It matches the Rfam family "Bacterial small subunit ribosomal RNA", at positions 524 to 776 of the family's 1533-position model. The record is from RNAcentral.